This 457-nucleotide ribosomal RNA is filed under the name uncultured prokaryote. Its description in RNAcentral is "bacterial SSU rRNA". It matches the Rfam family "Bacterial small subunit ribosomal RNA", at positions 342 to 791 of the family's 1533-position model. The record is from RNAcentral.
CGGGUGGCAGCAGUCGAGAAUUUUUCUCAAUGGGCGAAAGCCUGAAGGAGCGACGCCGCGUGGGGGAUGAAGGGCUUCGGCUCGUAAACCCCUGUCAUUUGCGAACAAAUUGCAUCGCAGUAACUGUCGGUGCAUUGCUUGUAGCAGAAGAGGAAGGGACGGCUAACUCUGUGCCAGCAGCCGCGGUAAUACAGAGGUCCCAAGCGUUGUUCGGAUUCACUGGGCGUAAAGGGUGCGUAGGCGGUGGGGCAAGUCUGAUGUGAAAGCUCUGGGCCUAACCCAGAAAUUGCAUUGGAAACUGCUUCGCUAGAGUCUCAAAGGGGAGGCUGGAAUUCUCGGUGUAGCAGUGAAAUGCGUAGAUAUCGAGAGGAACACCAGUAGCGAAAGCGAGCCUCUGGGAGAGAACUGACGCUGAGGCACGAAAGCUAGGGGAUCAAACAGGAUUAGAUACCCGAGU